AGUGAACGCUGGCGGUAGGCCUAACACAUGCAAGUCGAACGGCAGCACAGUAAGAGCUUGCUCUUACGGGUGGCGAGUGGCGGACGGGUGAGGAAUACAUCGGAAUCUACUUUUUCGUGGGGGAUAACGUAGGGAAACUUACGCUAAUACCGCAUACGACCUACGGGUGAAAGCAGGGGAUCUUCGGACCUUGCGCGAUUGAAUGAGCCGAUGUCGGAUUAGCUAGUUGGCGGGGUAAAGGCCCAACAAGGCGACGAUCCGUAGCUGGUCUGAGAGGAUGAUCAGCCACACGGGAACUGAGACAGGGCCCAGACUCCUACGGGAGGCCGCAGUGGGGAAUAUUGGACAAUGGGGGCAAGCCUGAUCCAGCCAUACCGCGUGGGUGAAGAAGGACUUAGGGUUGUAAAGCCCUUUUGUUGGGAAAGAAAAGCAGCAGGUUAAUACCCCGCUGUUCUGACGGUACCCAAAGAAUAAGCACCGGCUAACUUCGUG
This 492-nucleotide ribosomal RNA is filed under the name uncultured bacterium. RNAcentral's name for it is "partial 16S ribosomal RNA". It matches the Rfam family "Bacterial small subunit ribosomal RNA", at positions 29 to 507 of the family's 1533-position model. The record is from RNAcentral.